RNAcentral lists this ribosomal RNA (340 nucleotides) under uncultured bacterium. RNAcentral describes it as "bacterial SSU rRNA". It matches the Rfam family "Bacterial small subunit ribosomal RNA", at positions 29 to 371 of the family's 1533-position model. The record is from RNAcentral.
AUUGAACGCUGGCGGCGUGCCUAACACAUGCAAGUCGAGCGGCAGCGCGGGAGCAAUCCUGGCGGCGAGCGGCGGACGGGUGAGUAAUGCUUGGGAAUCUGCCUGUUAGUGGGGGACAACCCGGGGAAACUCGGGCUAAUACCGCAUACGCACUACGGUGGAAAGCCGGGGACCGCAAGGCCUGGCGCUAACAGAUGAGCCCAAGUCGGAUUAGCUAGUUGGUAGGGUAACGGCCACCAAGGCGACGAUCCGUAACUGGUCUGAGAGGACGACCAGUCACACCGGAACUGAGACACGGUCCGGACUCCUACGGGAGGCAGCAGUGGGGAAUAUUGGACAA